GAUGAACGCUGGCGGCGUGCCUAAUACAUGCAAGUCGAGCGAACGGACGAGAAGCUUGCUUCUCUGAUGUUAGCGGCGGACGGGUGAGUAACACGUGGAUAACCUACCUAUAAGACUGGGAUAACUUCGGGAAACCGUAGCUAAUACCGGAUAAUAUUUUGAUCCGCAUGGUUCAAAAGUGAAAUACGGUCUUGCUGUCUCUUAUAGAUGGAUCCGCGCUGCAUUGGCUAGUUGGUAAGGUAACGGCUUACCAAGGCAACGAUGCGUAGCCGACCUGAGAGGGUGAUCGGCCGCACUGGAACUGGGACACGGUCCCGAGUCCUACGGGAGGCAGCAGUAGGGUAUCUUCCGCACUGGGGGAAAGCCUGACGUAGCGACGCCGCGUGAGUGAUGAAGGUCUUCGGAUCGUAAAACUCUGUUAUUCGGGAAGAACAUAUGUGUAAGUAACUGUGCACAUCUUGACGGUACCUAAUCAGAAAGCCACGGCUAACUACGUG
This 497-nucleotide ribosomal RNA is filed under the name uncultured bacterium. Its description in RNAcentral is "partial 16S ribosomal RNA". It matches the Rfam family "Bacterial small subunit ribosomal RNA", at positions 28 to 507 of the family's 1533-position model. The record is from RNAcentral.